AUGGACUGAAAAUGAUUCCAGGCCUGCUGGUGGUUUGGGGUCAGAUAACUGUGCCUAUAGUACUGUGGUGCGUUUAGCUUAUUGCAUGCAUCUUUUGGUUGCAGCGUAAUAAAACCCAUGUACCAACAAGU
Small nucleolar RNA from Thalassophryne amazonica, 131 nucleotides. RefSeq annotates it as small nucleolar RNA ACA64. The record is from RefSeq and is a predicted model, not a curated record. Lineage: Eukaryota; Metazoa; Chordata; Actinopteri; Batrachoidiformes; Batrachoididae. The transcript has a single exon.